Molecule: ribosomal RNA, 517 nt
Filed under: uncultured bacterium
Lineage: Bacteria
Description: bacterial SSU rRNA
Rfam family: Bacterial small subunit ribosomal RNA
Source: RNAcentral
AGAACUUAGCAGAGAUGCUUUGGUGCCUUCGGGAACUCUGAGACAGGUGCUGCAUGGCUGUCGUCAGCUCGUGCUGUGAAAUGUUGGGUUAAGUCCCGCAACGAGCGCAACCCUUAUCCUUUGUUGCCAGCGGCUCGGCCGGGAACUCAAAGGAGACUGCCGGUGAUAAACCGGAGGAAGGUGGGGAUGACGUCAAGUCAUCAUGGCCCUUACGGCCAGGGCUACACACGUGCUACAAUGGCGCAUACAAAGAGAAGCGACCUCGCGAGAGCAAGCGGACCUCACAAAGUGCGUCGUAGUCCGGAUUGGAGUCUGCAACUCGACUCCAUGAAGUCGGAAUCGCUAGUAAUCGUAGAUCAGAAUGCUACGGUGAAUACGUUCCCGGGCCUUGUACACACCGCCCGUCACACCAUGGGAGUGGGUUGCAAAAGAAGUAGGUAGCUUAACCUUCGGGAGGGCGCUUACCACUUUGUGAUUCAUGACUGGGGUGAAGUCGUAACAAGGUAAGCGUAGCGAG